UCCGCUAGUAGUGGCGAGCGAACGCGGAAGAGGCCAAACCGGAGGUAGCAAUAUUUCCGGGGUUAGGACUGCAACAUGUAACUUUAAUCUUUAACUGAAUGCUUUGGGAAGAGCAGCGAAACAGGGUGACAGCCCCGUAAGUGAAAGAGAUUGAGUGCUAGCAGUAUCCAGAGUACCAGCGGACACGUGAAACCCGCUGGGAAGAUGGGGGGACCAUCCUCCAAGCCUAAAUACUACUCAGUGACCGAUAGUGGAGCAGUACCGUGAGGGAAAGGUGAAAAGUACCCCGGGAGGGGAGUGAAAGAGAACCUGAAACCUUGUGCCUACAAGCACCGAGAGCACGUUAAAGUGUGAUCGGGUACUUUUUGUAGAACGGUCCGGCGAGUUAAUAUUUGCAGCGAGGUUAAGUAACUGGAGUUACGGAGCCGCAGCGAGAGCGAGUCUGAAUAGGGCGUAUGAAGUUGCAGGUAUUAGACCCGAAACCGGGUGACCUAUCCAUGAGCAGGCUGAAGCGGUGGUAAGACACCGUGGAGGGCCGCACCCACGUCUGUUGAAAAAGCCGGGGAUGACUUGUGGAUAGCGGAGAAAUUCCAAUCGAACUCGGAGAUAGCUGGUUCUCCCCGAAAUAGCUUUAGGGCUAGCGUUAUUUUAGAUUACCGGAGGUAAAGCACUGAAUGGUCUAGGGGCCGCGAGGUUACCAAAGCCUAUCAAACUCUGAAUGCCGGAUAAUUGAUGAAUAGCAGUCAGACUGUGUGAGAUAAGUCUCAUAGUCAAAAGGGAAACAGCCCAGAUCUACAGCUAAGGUCCCAAAUGAACACUAAGUGGAAAAUGAUGUGAAACUGCGAAGACAACCAGGAUGUUGGCUUAGAAGCAGCCACUCAUUCAAAGAGUGCGUAAUAGCUCACUGGUCGAGUGGUUUUGCGCAGAAAAUGUAACGGGGCUAAGUGUUCAACCGAAGCUUAGGCAUUGCAGUAAUGCAUUGGGUAGGGGAGCGUCGUAUGCGGGGCGAAGUCAGAGCGGAAGCACUGGUGGACUGCAUACGAGUGAGAAUGCCGGAAUAAGUAGCGAGAAUUAUGUGAGAAUCAUAAUGGCCGAAAAUCUAAGGUUUCCUGGGGAAGGUUCGUCCGCCCAAGGUUAGUCGGGAGCUAAGGCGAGGCCGAAAGGCGUAGUCGAUGCACAUACGGUAGAAAUUCCGUAACCACCGAACUUUAAGCUAGAGGGACGCUUUCUUCAAGGUUAUCCCGGGCGAUGGUUGCCCCGGGCGUAAGGGACCGAAAUUUAGUAGGGAAGUAACUGGCGAGAGAGACGAGAAAAGCUCUAGUGUAUACUAAGGUGCCCGUACCGCAAACCGACACAGGUAGAAGGGAUGAGUAUUCUAAGGCCAACGGGAGAAGGGUUGUUAAGGAACUCGGCAAAUUGGCCCCGUAACUUCGGGAUAAGGGGCGCCUGCGAGAGCAGGCCGCAGUGAAAAGGCCCAAGCGACUGUUUAGCAAAAACACAGCUCUCUGCUAAAUCGAAAGAUGACGUAUAGGGGGUGACGCCUGCCCGGUGCUGGAAGGUUAAGGGGAGUGCUUAGCGCAAGCGAAGGUGCGAACUUAAGCCCCAGUAAACGGCGGCCGUAACUAUAACGGUCCUAAGGUAGCGAAAUUCCUUGUCAGGUAAGUUCUGACCCGCACGAAUGGCGUAACGAUUUGGGCACUGUCUCAACAGCCCGCCCGGCGAAAUUGUAGUACCGGUGAAGAUGCCGGUUUCCCGCAACUAGACGGAAAGACCCCAUGGAGCUUCACUGUAGCUUGAUAUUGGACUUCGGUAUUCCAUGUACAGGAUAGGUGGGAGGCUAGGAAGCGAGCGCGCCAGCGUUCGUGGAGCCGUCCUUGGGAUACCACUCUUGGGAUAUUGGAGUUCUAACCUGCGACCAUGAAUCUGGUCGGGGGACAUUGUCAGGUGGGCAGUUUGACUGGGGC
This 1964-nucleotide ribosomal RNA is filed under the name human gut metagenome. RNAcentral describes it as "bacterial LSU rRNA". It matches the Rfam family "Bacterial large subunit ribosomal RNA", at positions 236 to 2280 of the family's 2925-position model. The record is from RNAcentral.